CCUACGGGAGGCAGCAGUAGGGAAUAUUGCGCAAUGGACGAAAGUCUGACGCAGCGACGCCGCGUGAGUGAUGAAGGCCUUAGGGUCGUAAAGCUCUGUUGAAUGGGAAACGGUACCAUUCGAGGAAGGACCGGCUAACUUCGUGCCAGCAGCCGCGGUAAUACGAGGGGUCCUAGCGUUGUUCGGAAUCAUUGGGCGUAAAGGGUGUGUAGGUGGCUAUGUAAGUCAGGUGUGAAAGCCCCGGGCUCAACCCGGGAAGUGCAUCUGAUACUGCGUAGCUUGAGUACCGAAGAGGAUAGUGGAAUUCCAGGUGUAGUGGUGAAAUACGUAGAUAUCUGGAGGAACACCGGUGGCGAAGGCGGCUAUCUGGUCGAGACUGACACUGAGACACGAAAGCAUGGGGAUCAAACAGGAUUAGAUACCCUUGUAGUC
This 432-nucleotide ribosomal RNA is filed under the name uncultured bacterium. RNAcentral describes it as "partial 16S ribosomal RNA". It matches the Rfam family "Bacterial small subunit ribosomal RNA", at positions 338 to 795 of the family's 1533-position model. The record is from RNAcentral.